Long non-coding RNA from Pygocentrus nattereri (red-bellied piranha), 299 nucleotides. RefSeq lists it as uncharacterized. The transcript is spliced from 3 exons. Lineage: Eukaryota; Metazoa; Chordata; Actinopteri; Characiformes; Serrasalmidae. The record is from RefSeq and is a predicted model, not a curated record.
ACUGGACGGGUGAAUUCACCUGGAGAGAGUGAGCAGUGUGGAAUAGUUUGGACUUUGGUGAGCGUUGUGUGCUCUCUGAGCAUUCUUUUAACUGCACUGGUGCUUUUGAUCAUCCAGAAGAAAAGGGGAAGACGCACUGGAACAUCACAAACUGGACAGCGAGUGCGACAAGUUGAGAAGCUGGAGGAAGCUGAAGUGCAGUACAGUGCACUACGUUUCUCAAACCCAAAAUGAACCAAGGAGAGGGCUGAGUCAGACACUGAAGCUGAGUGAAUACCAAUAUUUCUUAUUUCAGGCUU